Molecule: ribosomal RNA, 509 nt
Filed under: uncultured Escherichia sp.
Lineage: Bacteria; Pseudomonadati; Pseudomonadota; Gammaproteobacteria; Enterobacterales; Enterobacteriaceae
Description: bacterial SSU rRNA
Rfam family: Bacterial small subunit ribosomal RNA
Source: RNAcentral
AGAGUUUGAUCCUGGCUCAGAUUGAACGCUGGCGGCAGGCCUAACACAUGCAAGUCGAACGGUAACAGGAAGCAGCUUGCUGCUUUGCUGACGAGUGGCGGACGGGUGAGUAAUGUCUGGGAAACUGCCUGAUGGAGGGGGAUAACUACUGGAAACGGUAGCUAAUACCGCAUAACGUCGCAAGACCAAAGAGGGGGACCUUCGGGCCUCUUGCCAUCGGAUGUGCCCAGAUGGGAUUAGCUAGUAGGUGGGGUAAAGGCUCACCUAGGCGACGAUCCCUAGCUGGUCUGAGAGGAUGACCAGCCACACUGGAACUGAGACACGGUCCAGACUCCUACGGGAGGCAGCAGUGGGGAAUAUUGCACAAUGGGCGCAAGCCUGAUGCAGCCAUGCCGCGUGUAUGAAGAAGGCCUUCGGGUUGUAAAGUACUUUCAGCGGGGAGGAAGGGAGUAAAGUUAAUACCUUUGCUCAUCGACGUUACCCGCAGAAGAAGCACCGGCUAACUCCGU